Long non-coding RNA from Perca fluviatilis (European perch), 713 nucleotides. RefSeq lists it as uncharacterized. The record is from RefSeq and is a predicted model, not a curated record. Lineage: Eukaryota; Metazoa; Chordata; Actinopteri; Perciformes; Percidae. The transcript has 4 exons.
GGACAGUGAUACGGUGACGUUAAACUGCUCUGUGUCGACAUAUGAUGGAUGUACUCACACAGUGAAGUGGCUGUAUGAGGGUAAAAAAAACUGAGUUUUGAGGGUCCAGAUGACAGAGGCGUGACAACAUCGCAGUCUGGCUGCUCGGCCACUGUCUCCUUUCCGACUUCUCAUUUCCUGCAGGUUUCUAAGACGUAUGAGUUGCUCAAGUGUAAAGUGACAGAUGGUUACGUGCCCACCAUAAAAGUGUUCCCCUUCAGUCCUCCUCAGUCCUCAGCUGGUACCGGUUGGUCUGCUCUGAACUACAUCAUGUUGGCUCUGCAUGUGGCUGAAGUCCUCCUAAUGGCUGGGAUUACUGUUCUCCUCCUCAGAGCUCGAGUUUCUAAAAAGAAAUAAUGGAUGCUGGAUCAGGGAGGUUGGGAGUUAAAAAGCUGGACAGCCCUGGGGACAAAGGCUUCCCUUCUCUGCACCUGAUUAACACAAAGUGUCAGCCCGGAGCUGAACUGUGGUUUAUUUUCCAGGGAACCGUAGAGCACCUGAUGACAACACUGUGCAUGGUGAUGGAGAUGAACAUGGCGGCACUGUGAACUUUGAAAACGUUGGAGAGCCUUCUGUUUCUGUCAGACUCCCCUAGAGCUGGGCAUUAUAUCGAUAUCGUGAUAUGAGACUAUAGAUAUCGUCUUAGAUUUUGGAUAUCGUAAAAUCGUAAUAUA